This 920-nucleotide ribosomal RNA is filed under the name uncultured archaeon. RNAcentral describes it as "bacterial SSU rRNA". It matches the Rfam family "Archaeal small subunit ribosomal RNA", at positions 1 to 925 of the family's 1478-position model. The record is from RNAcentral.
UUCCGGUUGAUCCUGCCGGAGCCAUUGCUAUCGGAGUCCGAUUUAGCCAUGCUAGUUGUGCGGGUUUAGACCCGCAGCGGAAAGCUCAGUAACACGUGGCCAAACUACCCUGUGGAUGGGAACAAUCUCGGGAAACUGAGGCUAAUUCCCAAUAACGCUCCACCCCUGGAACGGGCGGAGCUGGAAACGCUACGGCGCCACAGGAUGUGGCUGCGGUCGAUUAGGUAGACGGUGGGGUAACGGCCCACCGUGCCAAUAAUCGGUACGGGUUGUGAGAGCAAGAGCCCGGAGACGGAAUCUGAGACAAGAUUCCGGGCCCUACGGGGCGCAGCAGGCGCGAAACCUUUACACUGUACGCAAGUGCGAUAAGGGGACUCCGAGUGUGAAGGCAUAGAGCCUUCACUUUUGUACACCGUAAGGUGGUGCACGAAUAAGGGCUGGGCAAGACCGGUGCCAGCCGCCGCGGUAAUACCGGCAGCCCGAGUGAUGGCCGAUAUUAUUGGGCCUAAAGCGUCCGUAGCUGGCCGGACAAGUCCGUUGGGAAAUCUGUUCGCUUAACGAGCAGGCGUCCAGCGGAAACUGUUCGGCUUGGGACCGGAAGACCUGAGGGGUACGUCCGGGGUAGGAGUGAAAUCCUGUAAUCCUGGACGGACCACCGGUGGCGAAAGCGCCUCAGGAGGACGGAUCCGACAGUGAGGGACGAAAGCUAGGGUCUCGAACCGGAUUAGAUACCCGGGUAGUCCUAGCUGUAAACGAUGCCCGCUAGGUGUGGCGCAGGCUACGAGCCUGCGCUGUGCCGUAGGGAAGCCGAGAAGCGGGCCGCCUGGGAAGUACGUCUGCAAGGAUGAAACUUAAAGGAAUUGGCGGGGGAGCACUACAACCGGAGGAGCUGCGGUUUAAUUGGAUUCAACGCCGGAAAU